GCGCCAUUAUCCCAACAGGCAGAGGAAAUGCACUCAAAAUGCAUCAAGUCUCAGUUCGAAUCUGAGAUGGCGUACCA
RNAcentral lists this transfer RNA (77 nucleotides) under Caudoviricetes sp. RNAcentral's name for it is "tRNA-Leu". It matches the Rfam family "tRNA". From Rfam's summary of the family: Transfer RNA (tRNA) molecules are approximately 80 nucleotides in length. Their secondary structure includes four short double-helical elements and three loops (D, anti-codon, and T loops). Lineage: Duplodnaviria; Heunggongvirae; Uroviricota; Caudoviricetes. The record is from RNAcentral.